Molecule: transfer RNA, 81 nt
Filed under: Paragonimus heterotremus
Lineage: Eukaryota; Metazoa; Platyhelminthes; Trematoda; Plagiorchiida; Troglotrematidae
Description: tRNA-Arg
Rfam family: tRNA
About the family: Transfer RNA (tRNA) molecules are approximately 80 nucleotides in length. Their secondary structure includes four short double-helical elements and three loops (D, anti-codon, and T loops).
Source: RNAcentral
GGCUUCGUAACUCAACUGGUAGAGGGCUUACCGCGUUUGAGCAUGGUGUUUCUGUCGCUGGUUCGAAUCCAGCCGAAGUUC